GACGAACGCUGGCGGCGUGCUUAACACAUGCAAGUCGAACGGAAAGGCCUGUCCUUCCUUGUGUUGGACGGGUACUCGAGUGGCGAACGGGUGAGUAACACGUGAGUGAUCUGCCCCCAACUUGGGUAUAAGCCUGGGAAACUGGGUCUAAUUCCCGAUAGGACUGCAGGGUGGUGCCUGUGGUGGAAAACGAUUUUCUAGUGGUUGGGGAUGAGCUCGCGGCCUAUCAGCUUGUUGGUGGGGUAAUGGCCUACCAAGGCGGCGACGGGUAGCCGGCCUGAGAGGGUGGACGGCCACAGUGGGACUGAGAUACGGCCCAGACUCCUACGGGAGGCAGCAGUGGGGAAUAUUGCACAAUGGGCGGAAGCCUGAUGCAGCGACGCCGCGUGGAGGAUGACGGCCUUCGGGUUGUAAACUCCUUUCGACCGCGAGGAAGCCGCCUGGUUGGAAGGGUGGUGACGGUAGUGGUAGAAGAAGCACCGGCUAACUACGUG
This 494-nucleotide ribosomal RNA is filed under the name uncultured bacterium. RNAcentral's name for it is "partial 16S ribosomal RNA". It matches the Rfam family "Bacterial small subunit ribosomal RNA", at positions 28 to 507 of the family's 1533-position model. The record is from RNAcentral.